GUAAUCGACAAAACUGUUGCUUAGAUUGGUACGAACUGAAAUCCAAUUUCAUCAAGACUUCUACAGUUUCCUUCAAUCAAGGAGAAAUUAUGGAACCCGGGUUUUUUCGCGAGUUGAUCCGAUAGCCAUGUUGUGUUCUUUCUUAAGAUCCAAGGAUCAGUUCCCUUUGGGCGAACUCAGGUUUAAUUUUUUUUGUUUCAUUGCCUCGAUCUCACAACAGGUUCUAUAUACGAUAAAUCUGUGUUAUGCGUUACUCCGUUAUUCCUAUUUUUCCUGAUAAUUUACAAUCUAAUACCUUUGAGUUAAUAAGUAUUGAUUAACCACAAAAUUAACCCCAUAUAAACAGAGAUUUCACCGGCGUCUUCUUCUUCCAUUGACGUUGGCAAAACCUAGAUCCUUCUUCGCCGUGAAAUCCUGAUAUGACCAUCCAAUUAAAAGCCGGUCCUUCCUGGUCUUAGAAUCAGUCUCGCCGAGACACAUCGCCUCCUCAUCACCACAAUCAUGACCGCUUCUAAAUACGUUGAAGAUUUGAAAUUCAUAGCAAAAGUAGGUGGAUUAAAGACAGAGGAUUUGAGAUGUUUCUGUUCUCGAUGGGAUUCAAGUUGCAUGUUUAAAUCAAGGUGCAGUAGCAAUGGUGGUUUUGAUUCUAAUUUUCAAGAAUCCUGUCUAAGUGAUUGGAUGUUAGGUUACUUGAUCACGUUAUGUAGAGUUAUCCUCUACUGCAAAGACAAAAAAACAAAGCAAAUGAAAAAAACCUUCGUUUUUAUCUGUUAGGUCCCUCAGGUAAAACACAAGGCAAUUUUAUUUUGCUGUGAACAAAAACCAUUAGACGUGGAAAGCAAUCGUCUAGAAGACUUCUUAAAUAAGUGUUUCAAAUAAAUGAUUAUAUCUUUCUUUCUUUUUUUUGUAAACAAAAUAUCUUUCUUUUGUUUACUGAUUUCUACAUCAGAACAAUGUUAUAUAAAAAUAGGGAACAUAUCGUGUAUAAAAUAGACGUCAAUAGACUUUUUACUA
Long non-coding RNA from Raphanus sativus (radish), 1014 nucleotides. RefSeq lists it as uncharacterized. The transcript has 3 exons. The record is from RefSeq and is a predicted model, not a curated record. Lineage: Eukaryota; Viridiplantae; Streptophyta; Magnoliopsida; Brassicales; Brassicaceae.